UAGUCUACGCCGUAAACGAUGGAUACUAGUUGUUUGGUUUUCGGACUGAGUGACUAAGCGAAAGUGAUAAGUAUCCCACCUGGGGAGUACGUUCGCAAGAAUGAAACUCAAAGGAAUUGACGGGGGCCCGCACAAGCGGUGGAGCAUGUGGUUUAAUUCGAUGAUACGCGAGGAACCUUACCAGGGCUUAAAUGUAGUCUGACAGCUUUAGAGAUAGAGUUUUCUUCGGACAGAUUACAAGGUGCUGCAUAGUUGUCGUCAGCUCGUGCCGUGAGGUGUCAGGUUAAGUCCUAUAACGAGCGCAACCCCUGUUGUUAGUUGCCAUCGAGUAAUGUCGGGAACUCUAACAAGACUGCCGGUGCAAACCGUGAGGAAGGUGGGGAUGACGUCAAAUCAUCACGGCCCUUACGUCCUGGGGCCACACACGUGCUACAAUGGGUAGGGGACAGAGAGCAGCCACUAUGUGAAUAGGAGCGAAUCUAUAAACCCUAUCU
This 494-nucleotide ribosomal RNA is filed under the name uncultured bacterium. Its description in RNAcentral is "bacterial SSU rRNA". It matches the Rfam family "Bacterial small subunit ribosomal RNA", at positions 791 to 1288 of the family's 1533-position model. The record is from RNAcentral.